AUGACAGGCUGUGGGAAUUUCUAUAGGAGCGAGAUAUUGCAGAAGAAGUUAUUGAGUAAAUGAAACAGAAAAAUAGGAGCUGAUACGAUUGAUGGCAAAGUGUUGCUCUUAAUGAGUGACGAGGAUCUUUCACAACAUUUACCUCUGUAUGGUGAUAGAUUGGCGGAGAAAAACUGUUGUUAUCGUCAAAGUGGGACAAGUGUCAAAAGUAAA
This is a long non-coding RNA of Haliotis rubra (blacklip abalone), 213 nucleotides long. RefSeq lists it as uncharacterized. The record is from RefSeq and is a predicted model, not a curated record. Lineage: Eukaryota; Metazoa; Mollusca; Gastropoda; Lepetellida; Haliotidae. The transcript is spliced from 2 exons.